AAGUUCGUAGAUCGUCGCGGUGACCCGUUGGCCCGGAUGCCAGGGCGUAAAGGUGGAAGGAAGCUGGUGAAAGUCCAGCACUGUGCCGCAACUGUAACCGGCUGUUUCAGGCCGGAAGUCAGGACGCCUGCCGCGAUGUGUUGUUCGUU
RNAcentral lists this non-coding RNA (149 nucleotides) under Chloroflexus aurantiacus. The record is from RNAcentral. RNAcentral also lists the same sequence under 1 other name. Lineage: Bacteria; Bacillati; Chloroflexota; Chloroflexia; Chloroflexales; Chloroflexaceae.